Molecule: non-coding RNA, 72 nt
Organism: Ramicandelaber brevisporus
Lineage: Eukaryota; Fungi; Kickxellomycota; Ramicandelaberales; Ramicandelaberaceae
Source: the annotation of a GenBank genome assembly
GACUCCAUGGCGCAAUGGUAGCGCGUUCGCCUCCAGAGCGAAAGGCUGGGUGUUCGAGUCACUCUGGGGUCA